AGUGAACGCUGGCGGUAGGCCUAACACAUGCAAGUCGAACGGCAGCACAGUAAGAGCUUGCUCUUACGGGUGGCGAGUGGCGGACGGGUGAGGAAUACAUCGGAAUCUACUUUUUCGUGGGGGAUAACGUAGGGAAACUUACGCUAAUACCGCAUACGGCCUACGGGUGAAAGCAGGGGAUCUUCGGACCUUGCGCGAUUGAAUGAGCCGAUGUCGGAUUAGCUAGUUGGCGGGGUAAAGGCCCACCAAGGCGACGAUCCGUAGCUGGUCUGAGAGGAUGAUCAGCCACACUGGAACUGAGACACGGUCCAGACUCCUACGGGAGGCAGCAGUGGGGAAUAUUGGACAAAGGGCGAAAGCCUGAUCCAGCCAUACCGCGUGGGUGAAGAAGGCCUUCGGGUUGUAAAGCCCUUUUGUUGGGAAAGAAGAGCAGCAGGUUAAUACCCCGCUGUUCUGACGGUACCCAAAGAAUAAGCACCGGCUAACUUCGUG
This 492-nucleotide ribosomal RNA is filed under the name uncultured bacterium. RNAcentral describes it as "partial 16S ribosomal RNA". It matches the Rfam family "Bacterial small subunit ribosomal RNA", at positions 29 to 507 of the family's 1533-position model. The record is from RNAcentral.